This is an RNA transcript of Acanthochromis polyacanthus (spiny chromis), 3322 nucleotides long. It is a transcript of the gene named zinc finger DHHC-type containing 11, with no coding region annotated. The transcript is spliced from 13 exons. NCBI's taxonomy places the organism in Eukaryota, Metazoa, Chordata, Actinopteri, Pomacentridae. The record is from RefSeq and is a predicted model, not a curated record.
CAGAACUUGUAUAAUCUCUUAGUAUGAAAAACAGGUAUGAUUGCCAGUUUGAUACUGAAGCUGCACGCCUCUUUAUCCAGCCAGUGAGGAGCUGCAAAUAAAGACGCUGCGCAUCUUGAGGAGAGCGGCAGUGCGCAUGCGCAGUGGGAUAUUAGUUAGUUUCCAUAGCUCCGACCUGCUGAGUGAGUUGAUUUUUCAACUUCUGACUCACGUCCUCCGGUGACACAAAUCCAAGGGCACCGGAGCGGUUUUAUCUGGCAUUACAGGUGCCUUUUAUUUGUUUCUCUUUGAUGUUUUGUUGUUUAAGCAUGUAAAUUUCACAUUUUUGAACCACCUGCCCGUCUCAUUAACCAGUCAUGGGACGUUAAUCGAUGGAAAUCUCCGCCUGAAGCUUGACAUUUUGUGGUCGCUUUGCAUUUUCAGCAGGAAAAAUGAGCUGCUUCAGUCAGAGGUUGAGGCGCACGGCUCCAAUGCAAGGCAACAGCAGAAAUGAGCUGGUCCCCUCCAAGCCUCCGAGGAUGAAUGGAUGGUCGUGGCCGCCUCAAGCUUUCCAGAUUGUUGGCUGGUUGGCCUACAGCUACCUCGCUAUAGUCAGCUUCGGCAUCUACAUCCCUCUUCUGCCUCUGCCGUUGAACCAUGUGGCCUACACUCUGAUGGGCAUAACGUUUAUUGUGCACUUUGUCACCCAUAUUGCUGCUGUUACUAUAGAUCCAGCAGAUGCCAGCGUGAGGGCGAAGCAGAGCUAUUCCAGUCCCUUGCCGUUUUUUGAUCGGACGAAGCAGCCUCACGUCAUCCAGGAUCUGCAUUGUUACCUGUGUGAUGUCAAAGUUGGCCCCAAAGUAAAACACUGUGGUGUUUGCAACAAGUGCGUGGAAGACUUUGACCAUCACUGCAAAUGGAUGAACACCUGUGUGGGUGGGAGAAACUACUGGUUCUUCUUUUUGGCGCUGUCCUCCGCUACGAUCAGCACCUUCCUGCUCAUUGUUGUGGUCUUGUUCAUAUUUAUUCAGCAUUACCUGGAUCCACACAGCCUACGGACCGCACCACAGUUUACCAGUGCAUUGGGGAACACCACUUGGCUGGUGUUUUUACCGUUGGCUCCCAUAAAAACUAGUUCCGCCGGCCUCCUCAUAUCAGCUUUUAUAACGAUCAUGCUGAGCAUCACCUGCUUGCUGCUGCUCAGUCAUCUGCUGGGCUUUCACCUGUACCUCUUCUAUAAAGGUAUAAGCACGUAUGAUUACAUAAAGAUGCAGCGACAAAAAGAAGCAAGAAAUCGAGAUAGUGAAGCUGGAAAUUCUCGUGACGCAAAAACCCAUAAUAAGUCUCCACAGAGUCAAAUGGGGUCAAUUGACUGUGAGCCAGCAUUAUCACAGAAUCCAAGUUCUUGCAAGUUUGACAAUAAAGGCCCACUGAGCAGCCGAUUGUCAGAGUCCAUAUGCACAGAGCUGGAAAACUUUAAGAAAUCCUCUGAAAAGGAGAACAGUUUCCGUUAUGGUACAGAAAACCCAGCAGAUAACACAGCAAGGGAAAUGAGUGAUGUUAAAAGCUGGAAGCCCGUUGAUGAUGAGGAGGCUCAGAGCUCCAGUGUGAAGUCUGUUGACAGCGUUCCUGGAGUGCAGGAUCCUCUGGGCAGCUCCAUCAUGACUCCAGAUGAGACUUAGCAGGAACUGAGGUCUUCAUAGCGAAAUCACUACCUGUGAUGAGAGCUGUCCUACUCCUUGGACAUACACUUUAAUCUUCUUGACUGGUCAGGAGGGCCGGUUCUGUCCUGGACUGUUCCCUGGACUCCAUAGAGGAGGUGGGUGAGAGGAGGAUGUUGGCAUUUUCCAUCCAUCCUGGAAAAUCCCUCUCAACCACUGCAUGACACUGUGGGGUCUUUAAGCAGCUCCUUCAGCAGCAGACUGAGACAGCCACCUUGCAAGAAUGAGCGCUAUCGCAGGUCCUUCAUCCCAUCUGCUGUCAGACUGUACAACAUCAGCAUCACUGGCUGAUGUUAACAUAAACACAUAAGCACAAUUCCUUGCACUGCUGUCAUUUUCUGCACUUCUACAUUUUAUUCCACAAGUCACUUUUUGCUGAUGUCAUUUGUUUAUAGUGUAGUAAUACUCUAUUUAUCCAUUUCCAUCCUUCAUUCUUGUAUAUAUUGUAUAUAUGUUUGUUAUUAUAAUUAUUAUAUUUACUGUAUAUUGCUGCUGUAACACGGGAAAUUCCCCCUGCCAUGGGGAGUAAUAAAGGAUUAUCUUAUCUUACAGAAUAGUAUAUCUGAUAUCCAGUGUUAUGUUGACUUGGAAAAGAUGCCUCCGUUUGCUAAACAUGAAGUGUUUUUUUCCGAUUCUUUCAUACUGAGGUCACUGGGUUUUGCUCCUUUUACAAAAAUGAUUUAGUGGCCAAUACAGAUUUUACAACUGUGGCAGGGCAACUCUAAUAACUCAGUUUAAUUGUCUGGUGAUCAAACACAGUGUGAGUCAUCAUAACUUCCUAUUUAACCACACAGUGGCGCAAUUGAAGCAGCUUGAGCUCCACUAUUAUGUCAUCCAGUGAUUACUCUGCCUCCAGACUGCUUUCAUCAUGAUCAACCAUAUCCUUGCUUUUUGCUCACAGGCAUGCAUGUUCUCACUGAGUCGUCUGUCUGAGAGCUCGGUGCUACUUUUCUCUUUUUUUUUAUGAUCAGUUGAAGCAUCAGCAGGGCCGGAGGUUACAUAAUGUCCAUCCAUGUCCAGCCAUUAGUGCCACUGCUGGUUGUGUAACACAUUAGUAGUGCGCUUGGACGUGGAAGAGAAUGUGAGAUUUUAUUAGGAAAUGUCUCAUAGAAAUAUAAAGCAGUCCUUGGAGGCACUUCCUUUUUGGCUGAGACAUCCUGUGCUUGAGUUUAAAAAUACUCUGUUUUUAUUUUUAUUUGCCCUUUCUCAUGCACUCCCUCCCAAUAUGGUUCACUGCUUGAUUAUUUAUUAAUAAAGCUGCAAAAUCUUCAAAAAAAAAAUCCGUUGUUUACAUCAACCAGUUCCUCCAGAAGAUGCUCUUGUUUAUCAUCUGCGCUCCUCUGUGGUUCCAAAGCCGCAGCAGCCUACGAGGCAACAAGAAAAACAGCUCGUCGCGCAGCUCUAGCAGCCAAUCAGCGGCCUGGUUUCUCUUCAGCAUCUCGCAGGGGGACUGAACCAUCGGGCGGACUUGAGCGCACAGGCUGAGGGAAAAGCGACUCCUUGAAAGGCUCCUCGACGCGCAAUUAUGGUUUGGUGAAUUCGACCCGGCGCUGGAGGAUUUUUUGCGUCGCCAGGUGACCAAAUUUGGCACAGUUACUUGGAGCUGUUGUUUUUCUCACAAG